Molecule: ribosomal RNA, 477 nt
Filed under: Enterobacter sp.
Lineage: Bacteria; Pseudomonadati; Pseudomonadota; Gammaproteobacteria; Enterobacterales; Enterobacteriaceae
Description: bacterial SSU rRNA
Rfam family: Bacterial small subunit ribosomal RNA
Source: RNAcentral
UGUCUGGGAAACUGCCUGAUGGAGGGGGAUAACUACUGGAAACGGUAGCUAAUACCGCAUAACGUCGCAAGACCAAAGAGGGGGACCUUCGGGCCUCUUGCCAUCGGAUGUGCCCAGAUGGGAUUAGCUAGUAGGUGGGGUAACGGCUCACCUAGGCGACGAUCCCUAGCUGGUCUGAGAGGAUGACCAGCCACACUGGAACUGAGACACGGUCCAGACUCCUACGGGAGGCAGCAGUGGGGAAUAUUGCACAAUGGGCGCAAGCCUGAUGCAGCCAUGCCGCGUGUAUGAAGAAGGCCUUCGGGUUGUAAAGUACUUUCAGCGGGGAGGAAGGCGAUAAGGUUAAUAACCUUGUCGAUUGACGUUACCCGCAGAAGAAGCACCGGCUAACUCCGUGCCAGCAGCCGCGGUAAUACGGAGGGUGCAAGCGUUAAUCGAAAUUACUGGGCGUAAAGCGCACGCAUGGCGUUCUGUCAA